This is an RNA transcript of Arvicanthis niloticus (Nile rat), 7057 nucleotides long. It is a transcript of the gene named cyclin T2, with no coding region annotated. The record is from RefSeq and is a predicted model, not a curated record. NCBI's taxonomy places the organism in Eukaryota, Metazoa, Chordata, Mammalia, Rodentia, Muridae.
GCGGGCGGAGGAGGAAGUGUCAUGGCGUCGGGCCGUGGAGCUUCUUCUCGCUGGUUCUUUACUCGAGAACAGCUGGAGAACACGCCUAGCCGCCGCUGCGGAGUGGAAGCGGAUGAAGAGCUGUCGCAUCGCCAGCAGGCGGCCAACCUCAUCCAGGACAUGGGGCAACGUCUCAAUGUCUCUCAGCUUACAAUAAACACUGCGAUUGUUUAUAUGCACAGGUUUUAUAUGCACCAUUCUUUCACCAAAUUCAACAGAAAUAUAAUAUCACCUACUGCAUUGUUUUUGGCUGCAAAAGUGGAAGAACAGGCUCGAAAGCUUGAACAUGUUAUCAAAGUAGCACACGCUUGUCUGCAUCCCUUAGAGCCACUGCUGGAUACAAAAUGUGAUGCUUAUCUUCAGCAGACUCAAGAACUGGUUUUACUUGAAACCAUAAUGCUACAAACACUGGGUUUUGAGAUCACCAUUGAACACCCACACACAGAUGUGGUGAAAUGCACCCAGUUAGUAAGAGCAAGCAAGGAUUUGGCACAGACAUCCUAUUUCAUGGCUACCAACAGGUUGUUAUCCUGACCCUCUUUGUUGCACUGUUGUAGCACACUAUAGCUUCCUUUAAUGCAGGGCCCCCUCAACGUGUCUCUUGCCCUUGUUGCAACAGGAGACUGGACCAUCUACUGUGGUGGUACCUUCCUGGUUGCUUUGCGGUGUAUUGUACAAGGGACUUUGGGCACAGAGGGGUUAAAUGCACACUGUGAAGUGUAGUGGUGCUUUCUGGUGGCAUAUUCUCGAUUUGUGAGUGCAUAAGUCUAAACUUGGUAGCCUGAAUAGCAGCUAAAGAUUACACAGAGCUAAACUUAACCUAGAAACUUGUUUGCAUCUUACGACCUUCUGUCUUCAGUACAAACCCACAGUGAUAGCAUGUGUAUGCAUUCAUUUGGCUUGCAAAUGGUCCAAUUGGGAGAUUCCUGUGUCAACUGAUGGAAAGCACUGGUGGGAGUAUGUGGACCCUACAGUCACCCUAGAGCUGCUAGACGAGCUAACACAUGAGUUUCUACAAAUAUUGGAGAAAACGCCUAGUAGGUUGAAGAGGAUUCGAAACUGGAGGGCUAUGGCUAAGAAACCAAAAGUAGAUGGACAAGUGUCAGAGACACCACUGCUUGGUUCAUCUUUGGUCCAGAAUUCCAUUUUAGUAGAUAGUGUCACUGGUGUACCUGCCAACCCAAGCUUUCAGAAACCAUCAACAUCAACGUUCCCUGCUCCAAUACCUCUAAAUUCAGGAAAUACUUCUGUUCAAGAUAGCCGGGCAUCUGAUAAUUUAUCAGUGCUAGCAGCAGGAAUGCCCAGUACCUCAUACAGUUUGUCAUCACACCAAGAGUGGCCUCAGCAUCCAGAUUCAGCCAGGACAGACCCAGUGUACACACAGAAACAGGAGGCCACUCUCUCUGGGAGCCAGUACCUAAGCUUCCAGCAGGGACCUUCAAUGGCACUGCAUUCUGGAUUACAUCACAGGCCGGACAAAGUUGCUGAUCACUCGUCUGCGAAGCAAGAAUAUGCUCACAAAGCUGGGAGCAGUAAACACCAUGGUCCCAUACCUGCUACUCCUGGAGUGGUUCCUCAGAAAAUGUCUUUAGAUAAGUACAGAGAAAAGCGGAAGCUGGAAACCCUUGACCUGGAUACAAGGGAUCACUAUAUAGCUGCCCAUGCAGAGCAGCAGCACAAACAUGGGCCAGCACAGGCAGUCGCAGGCACUUCUGUCACUUCUCCCAUCAAAAUGAAGCUUCCCCUCAGCAACUCCGACAAGCCUGAGAAACACUUGGCAGAGAAAAAGGAGAGGAGUGGAUCACUGAAGCUACGGAUUCCCAUCCCACCCCCUGAUAAAGGUCCCAGCAAAGAGGAGCUGAAGAUGAAAAUCAAAGUGUCAUCCUCUGAAAGGCACAGCUCUUCUGAUGAAGGCAGUGGGAAGAGUAAGCACUCGAGCCCACACAUCAGCAGAGACCACAAGGAUAAGCACAAGGAGCACCCUGCCAACCGCCACCACAGCAGCCACAAGCACUUGCACAUGCACAGCGGAGGCAGUAAGCAUGCUGCUGAUGGGAUGCCUCCCACUGUGCUCAGGAGUCCUGUGGGCCUGGGCCCUGAAGGCAUCUCCUCCGCCUCCAGUGCAAGGAAGAAGCUGCAUAGCAACGAUGCCUCCCACAACCACCACUCCAAAAUGAGCAAAAGUUCCAAAAGUUCAGGUAGUUCAUCUAGUUCUUCCUCUGUUAAGCAGUAUCUGUCCUCUCACAGCUCUGUUUUUAACCAUCCCUUACCCCCUCCUCCCCCUGUCACAUACCAGGUGGGCUACGGACAUCUCAGCACCCUCGUGAAAUUGGACAAGAAACCAGUGGAGCCCCACGGUCCUGAGGCCAAUCACGAGUACAGUACAAGCAGCCAGCAUAUGGACUACAAAGACACAUUCGACAUGCUGGACUCGCUGCUAAGUGCCCAAGGAAUGAAUAUGUAACCCUUUGUUUAGGUCAACUUUUCCUUUCCUUUUUAAUUUAACAAUGGUUGGAAUGGAAAACGCCCUCCUGGUCCAGCGGUGGUGCCACUGCUUCCAUAUUUGUAAGUGCUGCUUUGUUCUUCAUUCUGAAAGAAGAGAUGAUAGUAAACAAGCCUCUCUCCACAUACGAUAGUGUUACCAGGACUGUAAACGCAUGGAAGAUGCAGCUGAGAACAUUAGGAUGAAUGGCUGGCUGCUGCUAGGAACCUAAGCUGCCUCAAGCUUCUGUUAUUUAUGAUUUGAAUAUUGUAGCUGUUUUUUGUUGUUGCUUGGCUUUGAAUGAGUGUCAAUUGUUUUCUUUUGUGUAUUUAUACUUGUAUGUAUGGUUUGCAUGUCUCAGUGAUAAAGGGAUAAAACAGUAUACUGACAACUGUUUACAAGAAAGUGGAGAAAAAUGUACAUACAUUUUUGUAUGUUUAGAUAUUACCAUAAAUACUCAGGAUUGGAGCUGCUUGUAAGUAUAACAAUAUACAGAAUAACUUUAUUUUCUCUCGUCAGAGCCCAUCACUAAUCUAAAACACAAGUGGCACUUUUUUAUGUUAACCUUAAACUCUAGGCCUUACUGGAAGCCGCUGAGGGGACACUUCACUACUAGACGGAGAUGUGGUGCCAUGGGCGGUCCUUCACACUGGGAAGCACUCAGUCUGCCUUCAGAGGUUCUGACCAGAUUGGCUGCAGAAUCGGCCAUUGAUUUCUGAAGGCUUGAAGAGGAAAAAAAUACAAAGUUUACAUACUCUUGAUGUGAAGUGCAUUUAAAUGUUUGUUGGCUUGUUGCAGUGCUGUAGAAAGCAGCUAAUAAUGGGUGUGGAGAUGACUGUGACUUCGCUCCCAGCAGCUCCCAGUGAAGAUUAGUCCAUUCUUCAGGAACACUGACACUACAGAUUCUAAGAGUGUACAGGGGUCACUUUUCCUUUAGCAUUUGCAGUGACACCACAGUCUUGAAUAUACUCUUCCAAUGGAGAGUGUGUAUGUGUGUGUGUGAGAGAGAGAGUGUGUGUGUGUGUGUGAAUGUGUGUGUGAGGGAGAGAUACCAUAUUUCCUUUUCAGGUAAAUGCAGUCUUCCUUAUAAAAAUGAAAUUAAACCUAUGCUCUCUUGAUUCUUUUAUAUUCUAACAAUAAAUAAAAACGAAAAGUUUGCUGACUGUGCAUUGUACCUGUAUUUAUAGCUUAUGGUCAUUAUCAGGAAAAUAUAAGGAAAAAGGCCAGCCUCAGGCAAGCCACUGCUGGGGGUUUUACAUUCGUUUGCACGUCUUAGUAGGUUCUCAUUGAGGUAAUGCUUGCACUGUCACCUGACGCCUGGUCAGGGGAUAGACUGACUUGUCUAAAUUUUGGUGUAAGCACCAAUAGUAUGGCUCUUGUCUCUUGCGUAAUCUUGAAUUUAUUUCUGUGGUCUUAGUUGUUGAGUCUCUUAAGAUGGGUCGGAUUCAACUUGUAUUGAAUCACAAGUUUUCCUCUGUAUAUGAAAUGUUUUGUUAUAAAGCCACUGAUCUGUGCACAAUUGUAAUUUUAUUCAAGUAUGUUGUGGUUGUAAAUAUUAGAGUUGAGCCUUGUACUCUACUUUUAUUUAGCAGUUAUCUCAUUUGCCAGUAGCUAUUUGUUUGUUUUCGUUUUAAAGAAAAUUGUUGAUUAUUUUGUCAAUGUAAUUUGAACCUGAGAUGUCAGGAGCUUCUUUGUGGGAACUCAGCUAGUCCUCACUCUCUUCUUGUCUUUGUUACUAUGUGAUUUUUGUUGCUGUGUGGUAUACUAUUGUAUCAUAAACAUGAUGAUUUUGAUACAGUUAGUUUUACCGGGGUACAUUUCCAAGAACUAGCAUAGAGUUUAAACAGAGUACAAGGUGAGGGAGGGAAGGGUUUUGUUCUUGGUGAUUUAGAUGUGAAACCUCAACAGAGCAUCAUGUGAACUGACAUGAGGUGGUCGUGCUACUGUAUCAUUGGGAGUGAUGCCAGGAAUUUUAAUCAGCUUUUGUAAAGAGUAUCCAGAGAUGGAGUGAACUUAUUUUCAGUAUGACAUAGAAAACAAUGUGAAUAUUUAAGGUCUGGGACUAUAGUUAAACUUCACUAAGGACUUUCAGAAAUGUGUUGUUUUUCGUUUGUUUUUGUUUUUUGUUGUUUUGGUUUUUUUAGAUAUGGGAAUAAAGGUAAUUUUGUUGACUCUUCAUUGGUGCUAAUGAUGGGUAGUUAAACAGAUAGUGUAUACGCUGUGGAUAAGUACACCUAGUACUUCCAGAAUUGACUUUGAAAUGCUAUGUACUCACUUUUCACUCUGUAAAUGUAAUUCUUUACGAUGACUAUUUAUUAAAAGGCAGUCAGUUGUGAUUUUUACAGGAUUGUGUGAACUAUUCAAGCUCUUCAACCUCAGAACAAGAUGCUAAAACCACAAUGGGGGAAAAUUCAUGACUCCUUGUUUCCUUUCCCUUAAGGAAAACCCUCAUAAUUCAUAUCACCAUGAAUUUGCUUGAACUAUCUUGUUUGCAUAACAUAGUUCAUUUGCAUGGUCCCAUUAGACUACCAAAGAAAAAAGACUCAAUAAAUGGACAUUCUAUUGUGAGUCUUGUAAGUAGCCAUAAAUAACCAAAAUAGUAUCAAACUUAGGUGUGAAAUUUCACAUGUGCGUAGUACUGUUAAGGUGAUAGAUUUUUUGAUGAGUUUUUUAAUACUUGAAAAUAGUUAAAAAGCAUUAUCUUUACAUCAUCCUAUAAAAGAGUGAUUCAUUCUUAAGGUGUGUUUCCCUAGGUUUGUGACCUUUUUGCAAAAGCACAUUGUAAUCGGAGGCUUCCUGUCUACCUCUCUCAGCUCAUUUUCUAAAGUCAAAAUGUGCUUCCUAAAUAUUUGCCUUAGCUACAAACACAAGCAGUCUUCAGAACCAAAGCAACGCAGUGUUUGUUUGCAGGAGCCUUCUUGGAGGCCUGUAUUACAAGCUCGGUGCCAGUGCCCACUGGUGGAUAAGGCUCCACAUGUCUCCUGGUAGCAAGUAGCAGUGAAGGCAACAGUCAGUGUCAGUCCGGGCUCUACUUUAAAGCAUACUGAGUACUAGUGUUAGAGUGUUCAGCUUUGAAGAUGUCUUUCGUGGUAUUGGGUGGUUUCUUUAGGAAUGUCAUAAGUACACACUUUGUGCCAACAGAUAGUAAUUAUACAGAACUCCCAGACAUUUGGACCUAACUGUUCCUUUGGAGUAAAAAUAGAACAGGUUAGGAUUUACUUUAGACAACCAGUUUAAAAUCUUGUCAUUGGUUACCAAAUACCUUGCCUUAAGAUAAUUCAAAAAAGUAUAUUUUCUUAGAAUUUUAAUUCUGAUUUUAUUUGCAUUAUAUAAGCCACUGCCUAUAUAAUGCAUGAGUGGAAUUUGAUUUGUUGGUUGGAUGACUUAAGGCUCCUGCAUUAUGGAGAUGGCUUAUUUUGAUAACUUCUCAGAAAGAGAAAAGUCUCUGGGAUCUUUGAGAUGAGACAGUCUUGCUCUAUAACAAGGAAAAGGGCUGACUGUCAUCCAUUCUCCUGCCUCUCCACCCAUGCCUGGAUUAAAUCUUACAGAAGCAAAAAAGUACUUCAAACUUAGACUUAAUUUGCCAGAAGAUUCUGGGGAUUUUUUGAUUUUUUUUUUUUUUUUUCUGAGAGAAAAAUCUGGAAGCUUUUAGUAACUAAGGACCUUUGACUUCCUAUCUCUAGAUUCAGCGUCCGUGUCCCCCCCAUCCUUUCCCAGGAGGCAGUAGGAUCCACUCACCACAUUUUCACAGGGGAAGAGGCCACAAAGCCCACACUAGGAGACCAGGAGUUGAGAUUGGGUUUAAUUCUGUGCCUGUUGGUUUAAGGUAGGUGGGUUGAAACAUGUGUACUGACUAAAGGCAGAAUACAUUCCUUUUUUUCCCUCAGUACUUGGUGUUGAGAUGAGGGUGUACAGGCACAGCUGUAGUACAGGCCAGCAGACGGUUGGAAGGCAGCUUUGGCCUAGACAGAAGCCAAGUCAGACAGAUGCUCGUUGUGAACUUGUUAGUCGGCGGUCUUGGUACUACAUGCUCUAAGUAUGUUCCAUUAUUUCAGUUUUUGAAGUGUGCCCGGCCAGCUCUUGGCUUUGUGAGUCCCCUUUUCUGGUUUAUAAGUCACCAUCUCUCCCACCUGGCAUAUUUCUUGAGGUGUGCUUCAUGGGUGGGAACAGUUCUGUCUGUAUAAAGCUGACUUCAUCCUUCAUUGCAAUUCAGUAAUCUCAAGUCAAUCCUGUAAACUCUGUAGUUUCUUUUGUUUCCAAGUUUGGAGAGGAAGCCUCACUUAAAAUCCUCCAGCCGACAAGUCGAUUUACUAGUUUGUGUAACUUGCUCCGCCCGGUAUUGAGUGGCUUCUCUUGAUUAGGAAAACUUCCCUGGAGUACCAUUUUGUUAUGAACGGUUUGAAUUUGAACAUUCAAAACCCUUGUGGAUAAUUGAAUGAAACAAAAAAAUGUGUAUAUUGGCAUGAAUUAGCCAUUGAAUUUCAGCUUCUCAUUACAUAAGGAAUUAUUAAUAAAGUUUGUUUAUUGACAACCAAA